This is a long non-coding RNA of Beta vulgaris subsp. vulgaris (sugar beet), 1046 nucleotides long. RefSeq lists it as uncharacterized. The transcript is spliced from 6 exons. The record is from RefSeq and is a predicted model, not a curated record. Lineage: Eukaryota; Viridiplantae; Streptophyta; Magnoliopsida; Caryophyllales; Amaranthaceae.
UGAAAUUCACUAUUCAUAAGCCUUGACAAAUCUCAGCCCUUCAUUUGUUCUUCCAGCUUAGCCACACGAUCUUUUUCUUUCUCUCCUCUUCUUCACGUCUCUUCUCUGUCCUCUCUGUCCUCUCUCCUUUCUCCAUUGCUAUUCCAUCAUCUAUUCUUAUUUUUCUUCUAAAAUUUUCUUAUAGUUCACCCCAUUAGAAUUACAAUCUGAGAAAAUGAAAGAUGACAAUUUUGAAGUGCGCGAAAAAUGCAGUGGAAAUAAGUGGAAAGUGGGUUAGGGUUUGAAAGGGAAAAGAUGAGUGAAAAAGAGAGAUUUUUUGAGAAAUUGGGUGUUAGAGAGGAGAUGAUGAUGAUAACAAAAACUGGGAGGAAGAAGAGAGAAAGAUGGGUUUUAUGUUAUUUGAAGUAUUUAAGAGAAUUUUUGCUAAUUACCAUCUGUUCAUCUAGCCCAUUGAUAUUCGCAAGCUACAAGUUCACAUUGAAGUCAUAGGUCAUUGAAAAGCUUGUUGAUAUUGUUGCCUUCAUACCUCAAUAGAUCACAGAAGUAUUUGGAGAAGGUUCAUGGAGCGAUACAUAACAUUGGUGGCAAUAAGCCUGCUGUUUCUGAAGGCAUGGAGGGCUUCUAUUAUCAAUGUCCGUUUUAAGGCAGCUUCAAGUGAGUCAUAUCAACAUUUUCUUCGCUAUCUUGAUGUAAGGAAUGGGUUCAAGCCAAGCAUAUUUGAGUGACAAAGGAUUUGGAAGAAACAGUCAUAUGGUCUCUAGAGUGAUUUUCUACUGGGAUGAUGUUGAGAUCGUCACUGUAAAGGAUCCUCUCAUCACUAGUGAAGUAUUCAUUUGAAGGAAAGCGAAGAAAGGAGUGGAACAAGACAAUAAUGUUGAGUGUUUUUAUGUUAAUGCAAAGUUGGACACAUCUCUCUUUUUUCCUAUGUAGAUUUAUGUGAAAAUAUUAUAUGUGGCUCUACUCUUUUAGUAUUGUUUUUGGUAUUUUAAGCUUCAAAUGGGCUAAUCUUCCUUGAAUCUACAAGUUGACUGUAUUUUUACAAUGAA